This 321-nucleotide ribosomal RNA is filed under the name Heterosigma akashiwo. RNAcentral describes it as "partial Bacterial large subunit ribosomal RNA". It matches the Rfam family "Bacterial large subunit ribosomal RNA", at positions 2607 to 2925 of the family's 2925-position model. The record is from RNAcentral. Lineage: Eukaryota; Raphidophyceae; Chattonellales; Chattonellaceae.
GGGUUUAAAACGUCGUGAGACAGUUUGGUCCCUAUCUUCCGUGGGCGCUGCAAGAUUGAGAGAGCCUGCUCCUAGUACGAGAGGACCGGAGUGGACGCACCUCUGGUGUAUCGGUUGUCACGCCAGUGGCAUUGCCGAGUAGCUAAGUGCGGAAGAGAUAACCGCUGAAAGCAUCUAAGCGGGAAACUCGUCUCAAGAUGAGUCUUGCCGGGGCCUUGAGCCCCCUGAAGGGUCGUUCGAGACCAGGACGUUGAUAGGCUGGGUGUGGAAGCGCAGUAAUGCGUUAAGCUAACCAGUACUAAUUGCCCGUGAGGCUUGACC